Molecule: ribosomal RNA, 486 nt
Filed under: uncultured bacterium
Lineage: Bacteria
Description: partial 16S ribosomal RNA
Rfam family: Bacterial small subunit ribosomal RNA
Source: RNAcentral
AUUGAACGCUGGCGGCAUGCCUUACACAUGCAAGUCGAACGGCAGCACGGGUUCUUGCACCUGGUGGCGAGUGGCGAACGGGUGAGUGAUACAUCGGAACAUGUCCUGUAGUGGGGGAUAGCCCGGCGAAAGCCGGAUUAAUACCGCAUACGAUCUACGGAUGAAAGCGGGGGACCUUCGGGCCUCGCGCUAUAGGGUUGGCCGAUGGCUGAUUAGCUAGUUGGUGGGGUAAAGGCCUACCAAGGCGACGAUCAGUAGCUGGUCUGAGAGGACGACCAGCCACACUGGGACUGAGACACGGCCCAGACUCCUACGGGAGGCAGCAGUGGGGAAUUUUGGACAAUGGGCGAAAGCCUGAUCCAGCAAUGCCGCGUGUGUGAAGAAGGCCUUCGGGUUGUAAAGCACUUUUGUCCGGAAAGAAAUCCUUGGCCCUAAUACGGUCGGGGGAUGACGGUACCGGAAGAAUAAGCACCGGCUAACUACGUG